Molecule: non-coding RNA, 83 nt
Organism: Oryza meridionalis
Lineage: Eukaryota; Viridiplantae; Streptophyta; Magnoliopsida; Poales; Poaceae
Source: Rfam
ACCGGAUGUGACACUUCAUAGUACAACGAAUCCGGGCAUACUCCCUGUCCAGAUUCGUUGUACUAUGAAGUGUCCUAUCCGGU